Molecule: small RNA, 3809 nt
Filed under: Drosophila virilis
Lineage: Eukaryota; Metazoa; Arthropoda; Insecta; Diptera; Drosophilidae
Description: GJ26899
Rfam family: Heat shock gene hsromega conserved region 2 (bases 716-799)
Source: RNAcentral
UUCGGAAAAAAUAAGUGCUCAAGUGAAGUUCUGUCGUGAAACUGAAAUUAAUUGAAGAAAAGUUGUUUCUAAUAUAAAGUGCUAAAUUUUCACAUUAGUUGUUACACACACAUACCAUGUAUAUAUAUUGUUCAACGGCAAUGCAAAUGUGUGCAGAAACAGUUGGAAAGGCAAACCUGAGGAGCUAUAACAUGGCACGAAGGCUGAAAUAAUUGCUAGUACGGGUUUCUCAAGCAUUUCUGCUCUGAACAAAGAAAAUGAAAUCAGCUCCUCGUCGUCAUCUCAGCGUGGGCACGUCAGGCAUUUUCACAUAACGGCGAAAUGGGGCCACACAAAACCAGACUUGGCGGUGCGAAAACCCAACCAAGUUUUUCAUCUUUGGCUAGAAAGUUGCACUGUAGGCAGGCUGAGGCAGAUGCCAGGCGUUUGAAUUGCUAGCCGGAGUGUGCGGAGUGUGUGUGUUGUCCUGGACUUGAGGAGUUUGGAUAGGAAGCCAGGUAUAAAACGCAGCGAAGACAGCUUGUUCUCUUGUUAUACUUGGGCGUUGAAAGUUGAUACGCGAUCGAUAGAUGUUAUAACUCGAAUGCAAUGCGUGCGAAAGGGCAUUACAACAGCUGAAAUAUGCCGUUGGUGUGGCCCCGUUAGCCGUGUGGCGAGAGUAUAUCUGAACUCAGCGACCUGUGUGUGUCGCUACCUACACACAGGGGUACUAAACAUCGUUUUUAUCAGAUUGAUUGCGUGGAUUGAAUUUAUAGGAACCUGUAUCGACUUCUCUGCUCUACUAAGACUUGUUCAAAACAAAGGCGCACAAUUACCUAUACGUUUAUAUACGGCCUUCUAUUAUUUACCUAACAUCAUCGAACCGUUAUCAAUACCGAUCCAAACAGAUAUAAACACUACUGACAUCGAUCGAUAAAGAUAUAUAUCUCGUAUCUGGAGUAGCAACUGAACGAGCCAAUCGUUAGUUCGUUUUAUGCAGCACAAUUUACAAACUAUAUUCUUGUUAUUUACUUAUUUUUUUGUUGUAAACAUAAACAUUUGCUAGUACACGACAUGUGCGACUUAAGUUCUUAAAUACCUGAAACUGUUAAACAAAAAGAAAAAAAACAAAGAAAAUAUUCUGUUUUUGUACACAACCCAAGAUUUAAGAAAAUUUGUCCAUUUAUUGUUGUAAAUAUACUUGUCCAUACCAGUUAUAGAUAAUGAAUGAAGAAUAUAAGAAAAAAAGAAUGAGCUCAUCAAUACAGAAAAGAAGCUACAAACAAAAAAGAAUAAAAGAAAUCUAAGAAGACCAAUAAAUUUCGAAACAAUUGUUCGCCAUAUUUUUAUUUUAAGCUAAAAUUCUACACAAAUUUCAGUCUUAUCAUCGUACAAAUGGAGGAAGGGCCACUCUAAAUAUCCCAUACAGGUUUAUUUACACGAAAAUUAUGCGUAUAAAAGUCUAUGAAAUUUCUAAGGUUUGAAGUUAAGGUAAACAUCGACAACAUAUAUAUAUAUAUAUAUAUAUAAAAGAGACAUUCCCUAUAAAUAUGUUAAAAUUUUUCUCUAUACGCAUUGCUUGCGAUCAUAUAAGGGAAAUAUAUGCGAAUUUGAAAAUUAUAAAUUAAGCAGGGCUUUGGUAAAUGCUAAAAUAUGCGGUAAACUGCAAAAACGGUUAAAUAUUCAAAUUUGAGACACUUCAUCAAUGGCCGUAUUAAUACAAUUUUACAGACCCAACAUUACACAAUAUUCUACAAUUUAUUCCACUUUUCUGAUUUACUUAAGAAUUUAAGUUAAGUGUCUUCAAUUUGUCUUUAAUUUUUUUUUUUUAGUUGUCUUUACUAUCAAACUAUCUUAACUAAAUAUCAAACACAGCCUGAACACAUAAAAUUUACUUCAAAUACCAAGCGGAAACUAAACAACAAGGAUUAAACACUUCCAAUCCCCAAAAGCAAUUUUUCUUCCACAACUUAUCAACAUCGGAAGUUAACUUCAAUGACAAAAGUAUCCUUUAAUGGUCAGAAUUGUCCAGCAUAAAAUGGAACAUCCCAUCCGAUUAUCUGUUUACAUUUCAACCUGGAAAUUUCCAUCAAAGAAUUAGUACAUUUUCAAACUCGUCUCAAAUUGCACCAUCUGAAACAAUGGAAACUUCGUCAGCCCAGGCAUAAAUCUACCUCAAUGCACCACAUUCAAUUCAAGCAAAUACUUCUCAAAUAUUAAUGUGCCAACCAAGUAUACAUCCACAAAAUUCGUCUGCUUCUCAACUUCUCCAUCUACAAGCAUCUCAAUAUCGUCUACUUCCCCAACUGCUCCAUCUACAAGCAACUCAAUCUUUUACUUCCUCAACUGCUCCUCCAUCUACAAGCAACUCAACACAGCUGACACCUUUAAAAUUUAUCAGACACUAUUUUAAGUUCGAUUUUCAACAAUUUCAAAAUAUUUUUUCAACGUUCUUUGUCGUUCGACAAAUUUUUACUAUUUAUAUAUAUCUGAGCCGUGAUUACAACCAAAUAUUAAAUUAAAUUUGUCAAACACAUUACGAAACGUUCUACUGACACCACGUUGUCUUAAACAUCCUUAUAAAACUGCGUCCAAUACAAAUUAUAAAUUAUUAAGCAUACGAAAAAGUGAAAACAGAAAUUUCCCUGCGAUUACAAAAAGAGCGUAAAAACACACGAAAACUGCGAAGAAUUUAAGAAAGUGGAGUGUAUGGUUAAGAGUGUGAAAACAUAGAAAUUUCCCUAAUAGGUAGGUCAUACACAAACCCCGAUUACAACCCAAAUUUAAAACAUACAAGAGCGUAAAAACACACGAAAACUGCGAUGAAUUUAAGAAAGUGGAAUGUUUAGUUAAGAGUGUGAAAACAUAGAAAUUUCCCUAAUAGGUAGGACAUACACAAACUGCGAUGAAUUUGAGAGAAUGGAGUAUUCGGUUAAGAGUGUGAGGACAUAGAAAUUUCCUUUUUAGGUAGGACAUAAACAAACCCCGAUUACAACCCAAAUUUAAAACAUACAAGAGCGUAAAAACACACGAAAACUGCGAUGAAUUUAUGAAAGUGGAGUGUUUGGUUAAGAGUGUGAAGACAUAGAAAUUUCCCUAAUAGGUAGGACAUACACAAACUGCGAAGAAUUUGAAGAAAGUGGAGUGUUUGGUUAAGAGUGUGAAAACAUAGAAAUUUCCCUAAUAGGUAGGUCAUACACAAACCCCGAUUACAACCCAAAUUUAAAACAUACAAGAGCGUUAAAACGUACACGAAAACUGCGAUGAAUUUGAGAGAAUGGAGUGUUUGGUUAAGAGUGUGAAGACAGAAAUUUCCCUAAUAGGUAGGUCAUACACAAACCCCGAUUACAACCCAAAUUUAAAACAUACAAGAGCGUUAAUUUAAGAGAAUGGAGUGUUUGGUUAAGAGUGUGAAGACAUAGAAAUUUCCCUAAUAGGUAGGUCAUACACAAACCCCGAUUACAACCCAAAUUUAAAACCUACAAGAGCGUAAAAACACACGAAAACUGCUAUGAAUUUGAAGAAAGUGGAGUGUUUGGUUAAGAGUGUGAAAACAUAUAAAUUUCCCUAAUAGGUAGGACAUACACAAACUGCGAUGAAUUUGAGAGAAUGGAGUAUUCGGUUAAGAGUGUGAGGACAUAGAAAUUUCCUUUUUAGGUAGGACAUAAACAAACCCCGAUUACAACCCAAAUUUAAAACCUACAAGAGCGUAAAAACACACGAAAACUGCUAUGAAUUUGAAGAAAGUGGAAUGUUCGAUUAAGAGUGUGAAGACAUAGAAAUUUCCCUAAUAGGUAGGUCAUACACAAACCCCGAUUACAACCCAAAUU